This is a long non-coding RNA of Pseudophryne corroboree (corroboree frog), 1302 nucleotides long. RefSeq lists it as uncharacterized. The record is from RefSeq and is a predicted model, not a curated record. Lineage: Eukaryota; Metazoa; Chordata; Amphibia; Anura; Myobatrachidae. The transcript has 7 exons.
AUAUGGACAAUUCUCAAUGAUUGCUGUGUAGGCACAACAUGAAGAGACUUGCUGAAUUCAAUAUUCACACAGAAGGUUAAUCAACACAUGUGCAGCUCGUUAGCAACUCUAAUUACCUUCCAGACAGAGAACUCAGCACUCAGGGAACUCCUGGUACUGGUGAGCUGUUUAUCCCAGUGAGCAGAAAAGACACAGGAUCCAGGACAGAUUGCAGAGGAGAAUUAACUGUUAAAGAAACUUUUCGAUCAGCGCUUUCAUCCUUAGAGGUGCCUGUACUGACAUUCAGAAUGUUCCUGGUACGUGCAAAUCUCUAAGGUAGGGGAAGUCCCAAGCAACGGAGCACUGCUGCGCCACAAGGAACAAAUACCAUGACAGUCAUUUACCAUCUACAAGGAUGUUCUGGAGACCCAAAAUACAGUUGAUGCCAACUUCCAAACAAAAGGCAUUAGUCAUUACCAUUAACUGCUAAUAAUGUGAUCCAGUCUUCUGCUUUCCGUGUACAGCCAUUACAACUUGCAUCUGAUAUUUGUUGUAUUGUUGCCGUGGUGAUGGUAGCACUUUGAUGAUGUCACAGAUGACGUUUUGUGCUGCUGGGCGGGUUGCAGUCCCGUUUCCGGAGAUACGGCACCAUUCACUGAGGUGAUGUCGGUAUUUAGACAACACAGUGGUCUGUAAUGCCAUAUACUGGCAAAGCAAUGUAUUCACAAAACUGGAACAUCACGGCAAGAGGAUAUAAAAACCAAAGCUCUGCUUGGUUACCAUGGUGAUUUUAUUCACUGCUUCUGGACCACGGCCCCUGGGGAUGCAAGGUCGCCGGCGCACGCCAAUGAUGUCACCGGGUCUCCUGGAGCGCAGUGGACCGUCCAUGCACGAGGUGACUCUGGUGUCCAUGGGGCCUGACUGUACCACACAGUGAGAUGGUGUAGGAGCUGAGCAAACUUUUCGGAUGGAUUCACCUGUCAACCUGUCAGCGUUCUGUGUACAGGGAGAGAGAUGGUGCUGGCUGAGCCCCAGGCGGCUUCCUUUCAAUAACAGGUUAGACAUCCCUCAGGGCCUUGGGAGACCAAAACAGCAGAAUACCUAAUAACCCGGUCACUGACAAUGGAUAUGGAAUACUACUAAAAUACUGAUAGAAAUAAAACUGUAAAGCUGGGCAGAGUAAGGAAGACAUCUUUCCUUGUUAACAUUAAUUUACAGGCAAUUAAAUAGAGAGUCUCAGCCCUGCCCAUAGGUGAUCCAAACAAGCUAUAUCUCCAGGAGCAUGCUAAUUAUCUACAGAUGAAAUCACUGACAGAAUAAUUU